Molecule: ribosomal RNA, 229 nt
Filed under: uncultured fungus
Lineage: Eukaryota; Fungi
Description: partial 18S ribosomal RNA
Rfam family: Eukaryotic small subunit ribosomal RNA
Source: RNAcentral
AAGAUUAAGCCAUGCAUGUCUAAGUAUAAGCAAUUAUACCGUGAAACUGCGAAUGGCUCAUUAAAUCAGUUAUCGUUUAUUUGAUAGUACCUUACUACAUGGAUAACCGUGGUAAUUCUAGAGCUAAUACAUGCUAAAAACCUCGACUUCGGGAGGGGUGUAUUUAUUAGAUAAAAACCAAUGCCCUUCGGGGCUCCCUGGUGAUUCAUAAUAACUUCUCAGAUCGCAU